RNAcentral lists this ribosomal RNA (421 nucleotides) under Burkholderia sp. TK2-F1-8. RNAcentral describes it as "bacterial SSU rRNA". It matches the Rfam family "Bacterial small subunit ribosomal RNA", at positions 381 to 797 of the family's 1533-position model. The record is from RNAcentral. Lineage: Bacteria; Pseudomonadati; Pseudomonadota; Betaproteobacteria; Burkholderiales; Burkholderiaceae.
AGCUGAUCCAGCAUGCCGCGUGUGUGAGAAGGCCUUCGGGUUGUAAAGCACUUUUGUCCGGAAAGAAAUCCUUGGCUCUAAUACAGUCGGGGGAUGACGGUACCGGAAGAAUAAGCACCGGCUAACUACGUGCCAGCAGCCGCGGUAAUACGUAGGGUGCGAGCGUUAAUCGGAAUUACUGGGCGUAAAGCGUGCGCAGGCGGUUUGCUAAGACCGAUGUGAAAUCCCCGGGCUCAACCUGGGAACUGCAUUGGUGACUGGCAGGCUAGAGUAUGGCAGAGGGGGGUAGAAUUCCACGUGUAGCAGUGAAAUGCGUAGAGAUGUGGAGGAAUACCGAUGGCGAAGGCAGCCCCCUGGGCCAAUACUGACGCUCAUGCACGAAAGCGUGGGGAGCAAACAGGAUUAGAUCCCCCCUAGUCAA